RNAcentral lists this long non-coding RNA (349 nucleotides) under Drosophila guanche. The record is from RNAcentral. Lineage: Eukaryota; Metazoa; Arthropoda; Insecta; Diptera; Drosophilidae.
GCUUAGGCUAUAUCGGUUUAUUGGUCGAUGAAGGCAGCAUCGAAGAUAAUGAUCAUGUCUACCGGAUAAUUAUUAUGGCAAGAAUGAAGAAAUUAAUUACCAGCGCUUGGGCAGUGUGCGCCAUCUGGCGGAGGAGAUCUAGUCGUGCAGUGUACGCCAUCUGGCGGAGGAGACCCAGUCAGAAGGUCGUAAGUAUUGCUGUGAGGUCAGAAGUGAUGACAGAUGUAGCGAAAUUUGUAAACUGAUAAAAUGAUGUGGCAGACUUUGCACACUUGCUGCUUGUCAAACGGUUUUAUUCUCAAGGCCCAGCCUAUUUCCCUCAAUUAUUGCUAAAUUAUUGUUUCUUUUC